UUUAAUGUUCCUUACUAUGUAACCCGCUAGGGCCAGUUAUCAACUAUCCAAUUUAGUGAUAUUUAUUGAGACAAAUAAAUGAUAAAACAACUGAACCUUAAUACAUUUCCCAAGGACUGGUAGUACAAAUCAUGAACUUCUAAGAUUUAGAGUUGACACAACUGGUAUGAAAUAAAUACAUCAUCUGUUUGAAAUAUACAUGAACAUGUUAAAAUUCUAAAGCUACCAAGAUCAAGAGGCAACUAUGAUCGGAAAUCAGGUACGUCUUCAAAUCCAGCUCCUGCCAUACACAACAUCAACAUCCAACAUCUGCACGCAAGGUGAAGAAGUGUAGUAUGAGUACAACCGACCGCAUGUACUUAAUAAGUGACAAACCUAAUCUUAGGUUGAAAGUAAUGACGAGCUGGGACAAGGGUCAGUGUCCAACUCCAGUAACCAACAUCAAUCCAUAACAACAUAAAAAAAUGGUACAAGAACUAACUCAGAGGUAUGAUGCUUAACUCAUUCAGAGUUACGAGAAAGUAGGCUUAUUUUUCAAAGAUGUUAGUAAAACUCAAUUCUUUUACCAAAAAUAUAAGUAAGUUUAAAAACUGUGAUUUUUCCUAAAAUCUUUCAACAACAGUUAAGAAGUCUCAUUAUCAAAUGGCAUGAGGAAAGUACAUCUCUAUUCCUACAUGUCAAUGUGCAUGUGAAUGUCAUAAAUGUCACAAAACCGUGUAACAUGAGGGAAUGCAUCUUUAUGCCUGUGUGCUAAGUAUACAUGUAAAUGCAAUGCACCACAGUGAUGAACUCAUGUACCCACACUCUCAAAGUACUCAACCUCACUAUCUCACACUCUCACUCAUCACGCUCAAUCACUCAACACACUCGGUCACUCAGCAUUGUACGGUACCUGCUGCGGCGCACGACCCGAUCUCAUUAUGAAUCAAUAAAACCUGCACUCAUUAUGGGUGUGCAGACUUCGGAAGGGUGGAUCUUUCCCAAAUGCUAAUAUAACGUGCUGUGGCGUGCAACCUGAUCCAUAUAUAGCCCUAAGGCCUGUUGCAGCGCGCAACCCAAUCCACAUAUAGCCAUAUGGCUUAUUGCGGCGUGCAACCCGAUCCACAUAUAUAUAGACAUAAGUCUUGUUGCGGCGUGUAACUUGAUCCAUAUAUAUAUAGCCAUAAGGCUUGUUGCGGUGUGCAACCCGAUCUACAUAUAUCAAUAAUACCUACUACGGUGCGCAACCCGAUCCCAUCAAUAUCACUCACAAUCCAGCCCUCAGGCCCCAACUCAUUCAUCAACCUCUCCAAUCUCUCAGGCUCACAAAUCUCAUGCCAAUCAACCCAAAUAAUGACAACAAUAUGAUGUGACAACAAAUGAUAUCAGAGGUUGAGAUAUGAUAUGUAAAUGAAUGAAAAUGAUUGAGUAUGUACAUGCAAUUUAAGCAAUAAACUCAACAGCAGAGAUGACCUCAGUAGGUACCAACAUAAUAAGCAUAUAGCCUAAACAUAAUUUAUAACAUGAUUCAUAGCUCAAUUCCUCUAACAUGUGAAAAUUUCAUGGAUAGAAAUAGGAUUAGGUAACUACACAGUAUUACAGAAUCAACCGAGUCAUAAUUCAUGCGGUGCACGCCCACACACCUGUCACCUAGCAUGUGCGUCACCUUAACACUAAGCACAUAACAUGUAUAUUCAGGGAUUCAUACCCUCAACACCAAGUUUAGAACUGUUACUUACCUCGAACAAGCCAAAUCCAAUAUCUAGCAAGCCAAACGAUGCUCCAAAAAUGCCAUCCUGCAUGUACCGACCUCCGAACGGCUCGAAACUAGCCAAAAGCAACUCAAAUACAUCAAAUAAUGCCAAAAGAAACAAAAUUGAUAAAGGUAGAAUCUUUAAUCAAAACCCCAAAGUCAACAAAAAAAGUCAAACCCGGGCCCGCCCUUCGGAAUCUGACGAAACUCACAAAAUUCGACAACCCAUUCAAUUACGAGUCCAACCAUACUAGUUUCACUCAAAUCGACUAUGAAGAUGUUCAAAACUCAAAAAUUCACUUUAUGAAUUUUUAGACAAAACCCCCCAAUUUCUCUCUUUAAAAUUCACCAAUUACCAAAAAUGAAGAUAUAUUCACGAAAUAUAAUCAAAGCUGAGUAGAGAAUACUUAACCCAAUCCAUAUGGUGAAAAAUUGCUUAAAACAUCAUAUCAAUGCAAGCUCCAUAGCUCCAAAUAUGACUAAAUGAAUAAACCCUUGAUAUUAAAUAUUUCUGCCCAUGCUGUUCUACCUCGUUUCUGAUGCCAAACAAUCCCCAAAACUUGCUUUUGAUGCCUCCAAUAGAUUCCUUGGGAAAUGUCAGUCAAGUUAGGCUUUUUAAUCACUCCAUUUGACCUUAUAAUGGAGGAGAUAUGAUGGUUUCAAUAUUUGAAAAUAGUGCAGAUUUUUAAAUACGAAGUCAGUUGCAAUUUCGUAAUUAAUCUGGAAAGAAUUUGGCAACCCAUUUCUUAGUAAAAUAACCAUAAAUUACUAUACGAUGUCCAAAUUUGCCGGUUCUUUUUGCUAUGGCUCUGUAUUUACGAUAUAGAUAUAAUGCUUCAAUCAAAACAGAAAUUGGAGCCCAUUUGUUUAAUUACUAUUUAUGCUUGAAGAAACGACGUUGAAACAUAAAAAAACGAGUGCAACAAAACCCAAACCUAUCUGAAACUCACCCGAGCCCCUCAGGACCCCGUCCGAACAUACCAACAAGUCCCAUAACAUAACACGGACCUACUCGAGGCCUCAGAUCAAGCAUAACAACAUCGAACCAACAAAUCGCACCUCAAAUCAAACUUAAUGAACUUUUGAACUUUCGACUUCCAAAAACUCGCGUCGAAACAUAUAAAAUCAAUUUGGAAUGAACUUAAAUUUUGCACACAAGUACCAAAUGACAUAACUAAGCUAUUCCAAUUCCCGAAACCACAAUCUGAAUCCGAUAUCCUCAAAGUCAACUCUCGGUCAAGCUUAUGAAUUUUCCAAACCUUCAAAUUUCCAAGUUUCACCAAUUAGAGCCUAUAUACGGUAAAAUCGGAGGGUCCAAUUUUUUGUCAUUUCGACGUCUCGUAAGCACGUCUCGAAGACUCAAGACUACGGUCGCGUUUCAUCCCUCGAGGUCCAUCGUUAGUCGACCUCAGGGCAGUACAGACCGACGGAUACAGAGAGAAAGUAGGGAGUUCCCAAGUCGCAUAAAUAGGGCUGACAAAGUUUAGUGGACUAGUCCAAAAAUGAAUCAAGGCAUUAACUAGCUGUACCGUCUCCAUAUAUUUGUAAUUAAUGCAUUUGUACUAUGUUAAGAUUCCCCCUCAUAUAUAAAAGGGAUCCUUGUCAUUUUGUAGACACCUGUUGCUCAAUACCAAAUACACAAGAACAUAUUCUGUUGCUCACAUUACUCCCAUUUAUUGCUUACAUUCAUUGUAUUUUAUUUAUUGUUCAUCAUUUAUUGCUUAUCAUUGAUCAUAAAGAGCCAUCAUUUUAGCUCUCAUACUGUUAGUCCUCCAUCGAUCUCUCUAACCGACCUCCAGACUCGACCUCGAGGCCUCGUACACGGCAGCUCGAGGCUCUGACCUCCAGCCGCUCGGCUCGAUUAUCACAUCGUUUUCUAACUAUAAUCUCGCUUUCUAGUCUCUUACUUUAGCAUCCUUUGCCUUACAACUAGCAUAUAAAUAGAUCACAUAUUUUUAGAACCACAAAAUCAAAUUUAAUUGUUAUUACCAUUUUCUCGGUAAACAGUUUGGCGCCCACUGUGGGGCUAAAGAAAAUAGUGAUUAUUUUCUUGCUGGUUUUACUAUGUAACAAAAGUUAUCUUUCACACUUUUUCUUGCCCAAGAUCUUUAAUUUUAGGUCAAAAUGUCUGACUCGGUAAACAACAAUCUUGUGAACCAUGGAGAAAAUGGUGUGGAUGUUCCAGGUGUUGGUGUACCACCACAAAACCCUGAGAACGUGCCAGAACCAAUUCCUGUGGAUGUGGUCUCACGCGAUGCCCAACAAGUUGAUAUAACCUCCCACACUAACAGGAGCAUGCACCAAGGAGACAAACAGGAAGCUCAGUAAACUCCAACUAGGGAAGAACGGGAGGUUAGCCUUCACGUUAUUUUUGAAAUGUUGCAGGCACAACAGUUGGCGAUUGCCCAGCUACAAAGUCACCAUAAAUCUCCCAGCACGGUAGUACCGAGGAUGGCUCCCCCAGCCGAGCAGGUACCGGAGGGAUCAAGCAACAACGGGUCAUCAGCCGACCCCACAAUCGUAAAGAUGCUCGAGGACCUCACGAAGAGGAUCGAGUCAGGCGAGAAGAAGAUAAAAGCCAACGACAAGAAGGUAGAGACCUACAAUUCUAGGGUCAAUCAAAUUUCGGGCACACCCCCGAUCCUAAGAGGGGUAGACUCGAAGAAGUUCGUGCAAAAGCGGUUCCCACAGGAAGCGGCCCCAAAAUCCAUUCCAAAGAAGUUCAGAAUGCCCGAGCUUCCAAAGUACAACGGAACCUCGGACCCCAACGAGCACAUCACUGCCUAUACUUGCGCAGUGAAGGGCAACAACCUAAAAGACGACGAGAUCGAGUCCGUCUUGCUAAAGACGUUCAGGGAGACACUCUCGAAAGGGGCCAUGAUGUGGUAUCAUAACCUAGCUCCUAACUCUAUACACUCAUUUUCCAUGCUGGCAGAUUCUUUCAUAAAGGCACAUGCCGGUGCCAUCAAAGUAGCAACAAGGAAAUCCGACGUCCUCAAGAUCAAGUAGAGGGAGAAUGAGAUGCUGCGAGUGUUCAUAUUUCGCUUUCAAAUGGAACAAAUAGAACUACCACUUGUCUCUGACGACUGGGCAGUACAGGCCUUCACUCAAGGUCUGAAUGAACAAAGGUCGGUGGCUUCGAAGCAGGUGAAACAAAAUCUAGUUGAAUAUCCCACCGUGACCUGGUCGGUCGUUCACAACCGAUACCAGUCAAAGAUCAGGGUCGAAGACGACCAACUAGGAGCCCCCUCGGGCUCAGUAUAUCCCACCAAGCUUCCAGCAAAAGAGCCAAAGCCAAACAAGGAAAGAUACCCACCAUACACUGAAGAUAGAAGAAACGCCCCGAGGCGCAACAUACCCUACAAUGAUCGAAGGAUGGACUGAGGCCAGAAUCCUCAGGGACUUGUCAACAGAGCUGGGUUUGAUAGGUACACAGGGCAGACAGAGGCACCUCACUUGUCGGAAUACAACUUAUACGUCGAUGUAUCAGACAUCGUGUUCGCCAUCAGUAAAAUUAGAGACACUAGGUGGCCAAGGCCUGUACAAUCAGACCCUUCACAAAGGAACCAUAAUUUAGUAUGUGAAUUUCACAACGCGCAUGGGCACAGGACCGAAGAUUGUCAACAACUCCGGGAAGAAGUGGCCCGAUUACUCAGCAAAGGUCACCUCCGGGAAUUCCUCAGCGAUCGAGCCAAAAAUCAGUUUCGGGAAAGACAGGCGACCAAAAAGAGCGAAGAAGAUGAGCCACAACAUGUCAUCCAUACAAUCUUUUGAAGUGUCGUUGCCAAGCAGUAAUUCACGACUAGGAGAAUAAAAACAUCCCUCGACAGGGAAAAGCGAACUCAAAGCUCUAUCUCGGCCCCAUAAUGGUACACUGGUAACUUCUCUUCUUAUGAACACAUUUCAAAUUGAACAUGUAUUUGUGGAUCCAGGUAGCUCGGCCAAUAUUAUCAGAUCGAAGGUGAAAGAGCAGCUCGGACUGCUUGACCAAAUUAUGACCGCCUUUUGAAGUCCUCAACGGACUCAACACGACGAACAAAAUAACGAAAGGGGAAAUCGUCAUACCAGUCAAUAUGGCCGGCACGACCCAAAACACCAAUAUCUCCACCGUCAAAGGGGCUGAAGGAUAAACAAAUAGUGAAAUAGCGACCGCAAGGCAUAUUCUCGGCUGUGUCCGAAUGAACAAACAAAGGGUCGUACCGCGUCCUUCAAGUAAAUAUUGAAGGCCUACCGAGGCUCAAAGCGCCAUCGUCACUAAGAUAUAACCAUCUCCCUUUCAAUGUACACAUCGUACUAACCUUUAUGUAGGUGUUUGACUGAGACAGACAAAGCGCUAACCUAGCUCAAAGACCUUAAUGUUUUAAAGCAUCCGUUGCACUCUUUUCCUUCGACCAAGUUUUUAUCCCGAAAAGGGUUUUACCGGCAAGGUUUUUAACGAGGCAACAUCUAUAUGCUACCUAAGGAAGACCCAACAAGUAUUCAAUGCUUCUUUUGCAAUCAACCUCAAAUACUGGGGGCAUCCCCCUGGAAGGUCACCUACUCAAAGAAGCUAAGAUGCGCUAAGUGGGGUCUUGAUAGGAAAAUAAUGUACCGGGCCAAACGGUCAAACAAACUGUGUCUGCAUAGAACAAUUGAGCUCGUAACAGCAAAAACGUGUAUACUUGUACCAAGUAAUUAAAGAAACUCAAUAUUUCUGCAAAAACGGCUCCUCAGUCAAAAACGUCCCGAACACUCGGGGACUGGCAUCAACAACUCAAAACAAUGCGACCCCCGGGUCGAAACUCAUAACUCGUAAGACCUCAAUGAGGCAACAUCAAGAUCACAAAACAGCUCCAGAGCCAAAAACGUCCUAAACACUCGGGGACUGGCGUCAAAAACUCAAGUCCACAUGACCUCCGGUUCGGAAACCUCAAAAUCGUAAGCCCUCAAUGAGGCAAUACCAAGUUUACAAGUAAUGGCUCCCGGGCCGAGAAAUCCUUGAUGACUGCCGUCUAUCGUCAUCUCCAUCGACUUAUCAAAGCCUGAGGCCAUAAGACCACAUACGAGCAGCCUCGGUCUCGUAAGACCUAUAUAAGGCAACAACAAUAUCUGUAAGUCCUCAAGCAAGGUAUGAACCACACUUGUACCAAGUGACAAUAGCUGUAAGACCUCAAACAAGGCAUGAAUCAUAUUUGUACCAAGUUUCCAAUACUGUAAGACCUCAAAGGCAUGCAAAACUUGUAAGACCUUAUUAAAUGCAUAAACUCGAUCUCAAAGUUAAGGCUAUAUAUCGAACUUGUAAGACCCCUAAAAAGACAUACCCUUGAUAUAGAUGCCGAAACUACUUCACUCGGGACUGAAAGGCUCCAGCCAAACACAAAUGACUAUGGUCACAAGGCUGUAUGAGCCAAACUAAUGUGACUCGAGGACGCCUGACCGCCGCUAUAAAAUCACAGGCCUUCAAUUACUUCGAAUAUACUUCUAAAAGAACCGGUUAAACAGGCUACCCUCGACACAGGCAAAAGAGCUUCGACCAUGUUAGCUCCAACUAUAAGGCUUCGAGAUACUUAGCUAUCGAGCCAAACCUCCCGAGGUGCUCGAUCAUCGCCAUAUAAUGACUUACAAUCGAGGUCCUUAUCGAACCGUGAAGAGUCAGGCAAACACAAUUUCAAAAAAGUCCUUAACGAGGGAAAAAUAAAGCCUAUAAGAAGUCGUACUGACCCAACACGUAAGAGCCUCUAUCGCUAGACCAUAUAAGAGGUCGUACUGACCCAAUGCAUAAGAGCCACUGUCGCCAGCCCAUAUAAGAGGUCGUAUCGACCCAAUGCGUCAGAGCCAUUAUCGCCAGCACAUACAAAAGGUCGUACAAACCCAACACAUAAAAGCCUAAAGGCCAGCUUUAAAUUCAAAAACUUGAGGGUCGAACGAGCUCGAGUUGAAACCCGAUUCGGAGAUUGAACCCAAAACAGCUAACUAAAUAUUCCUAAGAGCAAAAGCAUAAGAGCUCAAAACACUGGCUUACACUAAAAGGUCGUACCGACCAAGUGCGUAAGAGCCUGCAGGCCAGCCCAAUGAGCCCCAGAGCCAUAAUAUGAAUCUGAGGGCUCCUUUUUAACUCAAGGACCAGUUCAUCUGGCUAAAAUUAAAACAAAAAGGAAUACAUGAAUAAUAAAACUGCAAGGCUUCCUUUCGUACAUAUAUGCAAAAAAAUACGAGUUCCAUUUACAAGUGCUCUUUGAAAGCACUAUACGCAGAAAAGGAAGGCCUAAUCUACAUCCCCCUCGGGGACUAUGGCCCAUCGACCUCUUUCUCGCUAUCUUCGGCAUUAGACAGGAGGAGCUUAGCAUCAUAUUCUUCCGCCUUCGCCUACUUUAUCUCUUCCGAGAGAUCGAAGCCCCUAGCAUGGAUCUCCUCGAGGGUUUUCCUUCGAGAUUUACACCGAGCAUAUUCCUUGCUCCUGCCCUCGUAGUCAAGCGUCCUCCUCAACUCAGCUUGAGCAUCGGCAGAAUCCUUCAAGUAGACCGCCACUUUCUUGUCAGCCUUUGUUUGGCUCAUUACGGCUUAAGCCCGGGCAUCCACAACCUUGGCCUUUAUCUUCAAAAGCUUAGACUCGAGCUUUGGAAUCAUAUCUCUUCGAACUAAGCUAUUAUCACGAGCUAAGAGAAGUUGAACCUCAAAAGCGGAGGCUUUAGCCAGAGCACCCUUCAUUCCGAAGGCACUCCAGGUCCUUCGUCUUUUUCUGCAACUAAAAUAAACAAAACAUUGCUCAGGAGCUAGAAGAAGGAACACACACUCCCUCAGAACAAAACUACCUGCUCCUUCAGGAAGCUCUCAUAAUUUGAGCUUUGACUCACCUCAUAACGUAAAUACGUCAACUCAUCUUCUCUUUCAUCGCAAAGAAGCCUAACAGAUUUCUCCCCGUCGACAGUUUUUCGCAAUCUGGCCUCACGGCGAAGCAACUCAAAUUUGAGCUUAUUAAAAACCUGUGGAAGAGUAACAUGGUAAGAAAGUGAAAAUUACAAAACUAUAAAACCAAUAUGAACGGCCUGAACCUACCUCCGAGUAAAGCCGCUGAGCUUCCUCAAGAGUUGAGCAUAUAUCUACUGGCCUAGAUCCAUCUACCCAUAUCUACUUGGUGUCGAACAUCUCUCGAAGUGGCUUCGACAGGAGAAGAAGCCAGCGGCAUAGAACCUUCGAGUGCUGCAGGUUCAGCUAAAAUGCCCUCUCUAAGCCUCCGGUCCGGACUCGUCUUGCUACAAUCACUGUCAUCCUGCAAAGGCCUCUCCUGCUUAUUGUUAUUAAUAUCAUCCCCCAGUCCUAAAGCCAGAAGUCUUUCUCCCUCUCCUAAAGGGCACGACCUCGCUUUAAAGGACUCCCCAAUGCCUACGAUGACAGAGUUAAUAUGCAGAAAGAAAAAGUGCCCUUCCGAGAGAAGGGGAAGGGAGCAAAUCAUAUAGCACGUACCAUGGUGUUUUGACUCCGACCUAUCCUUAGAUAAAGCUUGCCACUUACGCUCAUUGCAUGUCGAGUAGGUUUCCAUCUUCCGAACCCAAUCCGGUAGAUCGGGAACCUCACCUGACAUCUACAAAAUUGGUGAAGAAAAGGAAAAGAAGGCGCAUUUACAAAGCCUGCUUUCGCCAUAAACAAAACUACUAAGGCACUAGUGUACCACUUAUGUGUAAAAUUUCAUUCCUCACGAAAUGGCAGAAACUCCACUGGAAUAAUAUCAACAGUCCGUACUCGGAUGAAUCAGCUCAUCUACCUCCAAUCUCUAUCUUCUUCAUCAUUAAUACUAUCCGCCAAAAUGACGGAUGCAUCUGUGCCAAAGUGACAUGGUACUUUUGACAGAAGUCGAGCACAACCCUAUCAAGGGGGCCCAAUGUAAAGGGGUAUGUAUACACGUUCAAAAACCCCUCGGCAUGUUCCAUGAUGCUCUCUUCCGGGGAAGGUACCCGCAGUACUUCCUCUUCCCCCCAUCCACAAUCCUUCUUCACCUACUCAAGAAGAUCCUCCUUGAAACAAAAUGCCUAGAGGCGGAACUCCCUUCUCCUUACCGAGCGGACCCCGACAUAGCGGCCAUAACUGUGGUAAAACUAGAGAAUUGAAGCGGGAAUUUGAGCAAGAGAGUUAAAACUAAAAUGAUGAAGGACCUAACGCAGGAAAUGAGAACUAUAUAAAAGAGGAUAACUACUCAGAAUAGCAGAAUCUCCAAAAGGGCAAAGACAACCCUAUAUAUGGAAAAAGCGGCGACCAACCGCCUACCUCAAAGGCCGAUUAAAAAUACUGGCUAAAGCUUUUAUCUAUUUGGAAAGAUAUGCCGGCGGAAUCGCCUUGGUCAUUUCGUAACCGUGCCAUACACUUGACGCCACCAUACGACGUUUCAGGGUUGGGGACCCUGCAUCAACCAAGCCUCAAGAUGGUACUUGAUCUCGAGGACCUCCACCAAAAAGAAGAUAGGCUCCAGGAAGCCGUUGAUAUCAUUACGAGCCUCGAGAUGGUAACCGAUCUCGAGGACCUUUUCCAAAAAGAAUAUAGGCUCCAGGAAGCCAUUGUCAUCAUUAUAGGCCUCGAGAUGGUACCCGAUCUCGAGGACCUUCAACAAAAAGAAGAUAGGCUUCAGGAAGCCAUUGGCAUCAUUAUAGGCCUCGAGAUGGUACCCGAUCUCGAGCACCUUCACCAAAAAGAAGAUAGGCUCUAGGAAGCCAUUGGCAUCAUUACAUGCCUCGAGAUGGUACCCGAUCUCGAGGACCUUCACCAAAAAGAAGAUAGGCUCUAUGAAGCCAUUGAUCAUUACAGGCCUCGAGAUGGUACCCGAUCUCGCGGACCUCCACCAAGAAGAAGAUAUGCUCUAAGGGUCCAUUAAUAUCAUUGCGAGACUCGAGAUGGUAACCUAUCUUGAGGGCUCUUCUCUCAACAAGAGGAUAAACUCUAAGAACCUACUCAUACGGGCUUGGCCUUGAGGUACCAACCAAACCCGGGUAAGCCCUCAUCCGGGAUCUAUCUGCAACUCCUUAAGGCUUUCUACACUAAGUUCAAAGCAAGUCUCCAGGUGUCACACCUCCUUUUUACUACACUCGUAAGGGUGUAAGGGAGUUUUUCCCAAUUUAAGUGACAAUCAAAACGAGAUUUAUUUAUUUAUUCAGAGUCGCCACUUGGGAUAAUUUAUGGUGUCCCAAGCUACCGGUUUAGAAUCCCGAAUCGAGGAAAGUUUGACUUUGUUUUAUAGUCCGCGAACACAGAAAUCCGGGUGAGAAAUUCUGUUAACCCGAGAGAAGGUGUUAGGCAUUCCUGGGUUCCGUGGUUCUAACACGGUUUCUCAACUGUUAUUAUUGGCUCAAUUAUCUGAUUUUAUACAUUUUUAAAACCUGCGUGCAUUUUUAACUUUCUAGACACUUUUAUUUAUUUAAAAAAUUAAUCCAAGGUUAUUUAAAACACAUCGCGAGCCACACUACAUGAAAUGCACCCGUGAGUCACGACACAUUCUAUUCAACUUCGUUGGAAAUUAGAACCGGACCACAUGAAAUGUACCCCCGGAUUUUAGAUAAAAGCUAUUAUAAUUAUAUAAUUAACGCUCCUAAAGCAAGCUACAAAGUUCAUUUUUAAUACUUAAGUUGUAAAAUUAAUAUUAGGUCCAUAGGAGAUUUAAUAGAUGGCACGCCUCAAUUCACUUUUAAGAGAUUAUGCUUAGCCAAAGUCACCUAAAGAUACUUGAAUUUUGCGUAAAUUGAGUUCUAUCUAACAUUACUAAAAUCAGCCUACACAGAAUACCACAAAUCCAUCGACAAAACUAUAACGUAACAAAACUAUAAUACAAUACCACAAAUUGUUGUCCCUUUACUUGAAAAUUACGUACCAAGUGUUAUAACUAUAACUAAUUUACAUGCGCAUAUUACCUUUCAAUCUUUAGCUUAAUCAGUUAACAUUGGAUUCAUUUUAAACUAUAUUCUGAGAUUGCAAAUAGUAUGUCGCAAUUUUCCAUUUUUAACAAAUCAAAAAAAGUACUCUAAACAAAAUUAAGCAAAGUAAUUAUUCUGUUGAACAUUGCAAACAAAAUCCCAGAUACUAGUAUACCAAUUUCGAGAAUAGAAAUUCAUUCAAACCAAAAGCACCAAGGUAGAACACCCAAAAUUCUUGAAUUAAUUAAAGAAAAGAGAUAAAAGGAACCUCAAACAAAGUAUUGCCUGUCACGAGAAUCUCCAACUUUACAAUUUCUGUUUGGACGCAAAAUUGCUACGGCAAGGAACGACGACCGGAACCUCAACGAAACAAACUCGACUCUUCAACGAUGACUGAAACCAGAUUGGACUGAACUCAACAAUGAGUUCAACAAUCAACAACAACAAAUUUUCAACUUCAACAGCUUUUGGGAACAGAUAUCAAUUGAAGUUUUCGAAUGGCAGAAUUCCGAUCUCAGUUGCUUCUGUUCGUUCCUAUAUCUAUCUUUGUGUGUGUGUGUUUUGUUCCCCACUCUUUCAGUUUCGUUCCCUCUUUUCUCGAUUGAAAGUCGGUUGCUUUGGGGCUUUUUGUGAUCUAGAAUUUUAUCACUCUAUGUUGCGCUGGAAAAUGUAUAGAUUGAUAUGGGCGGUUGAUUUUGCUCCUAAGUUAGGGGUCCUUCAUUUUUGUUCUUUUCUUCGAUCUUUUUCAGAGAAGCGGCGGAUGUUCUCCUUUUGUGUGUUUUAGGCGUUAGUCUAUAUAUGAUUAUAUAGUCUAGGUCAAGGUUUUUGUAGGUUUUUUUAGGUUAGGGGGUAUGAGCCUAGGAAUUAUGGGCUUGGUAAUUAUGGGCUAGGU
This 12499-nucleotide long non-coding RNA is filed under the name Nicotiana tabacum (common tobacco). RNAcentral's name for it is "long non-coding RNA (NTAB_LNC001743)". Lineage: Eukaryota; Viridiplantae; Streptophyta; Magnoliopsida; Solanales; Solanaceae. The record is from RNAcentral.